Mastomys coucha (southern multimammate mouse) is the source of this 545-nucleotide long non-coding RNA. RefSeq lists it as uncharacterized. The transcript has 3 exons. NCBI's taxonomy places the organism in Eukaryota, Metazoa, Chordata, Mammalia, Rodentia, Muridae. The record is from RefSeq and is a predicted model, not a curated record.
AUGCUGAUUUUCUCAAAGGCAGAGAAAAGUCAGAGCAAAGCUGAAGUUCUCCAAAGCAGAUGUUGCCAAGAACUUGCCUAUCAACCACGGAAUAGAGAGCAGCUUGAGACUCAAGAGACCUUCCACUUUGAUACUCUUAACUGGCCUUCAGAAUUCAAUCAUCCAGUGAGUUGCAAGAGAGACUUCAGUCUCAGGCGUUCUGAGUUGUGCAGUGCACUGUGUGUGAUCUAUCAGUCAUGGAUGAAAGACAACCUGAGGCCACUCCCAGCCCUGCGAGUGUGAGCACCAGCAGGAAGAUGGAUGAAUACUUAAGGCCUGGCCAAGGCAAGAAAAACUUGCUGAGCUUUUUACUAGGAAGACAACUGGGAAGGCACAACAGUGAGGCAGAAAUGUCAAAGUGGGUGUGGAUGCUGACACGAGCAACUCCAGGGUGGAGGUGGCCUUUGCCAAAACACCAUGUUACUUACAUGCUUAUGCCCACCCCGAAUCAUUCAAAACACUUCCAGAAGAGUGAAAAAUAAAACUUCUUGUUUCUGCUGUUGCGG